RNAcentral lists this ribosomal RNA (261 nucleotides) under uncultured prokaryote. RNAcentral's name for it is "partial 16S ribosomal RNA". It matches the Rfam family "Bacterial small subunit ribosomal RNA", at positions 524 to 784 of the family's 1533-position model. The record is from RNAcentral.
UACGUAGGUGGCGAGCGUUGUCCGGAUUUACUGGGCGUAAAGGGAGCGUAGGCGGACUUUUAAGUGAGAUGUGAAAUACCCGGGCUCAACUUGGGUGCUGCAUUCCAAACUGGAAGUCUAGAGUGCAGGAGAGGAGAAUGGAAUUCCUAGUGUAGCGGUGAAAUGCGUAGAGAUUAGGAAGAACACCAGUGGCGAAGGCGAUUCUCUGGACUGUAACUGACGCUGAGGCUCGAAAGCGUGGGGAGCAAACAGGAUUAGAUA